CGAAAUUCCUUGUCGGGUAAGUUCCGACCUGCACGAAUGGCGUAAUGAUGGCCAGGCUGUCUCCACCCGAGACUCAGUGAAAUUGAACUCGCUGUGAAGAUGCAGUGUACCCGCGGCAAGACGGAAAGACCCCGUGAACCUUUACUAUAGCUUGACACUGAACAUUGAGCCUUGAUGUGUAGGAUAGGUGGGAGGCUUUGAAGUGUGGACGCCAGUCUGCAUGGAGCCGACCUUGAAAUACCACCCUUUAAUGUUUGAUGUUCUAACGUGGACCCGUGAUCCGGGUUGCGGACAGUGUCUGGUGGGUAGUUUGACUGGGGCGGUCUCCUCCUAAAGAGUAACGGAGGAGCACGAAGGUUGGCUAAUCCUGGUCGGACAUCAGGAGGUUAGUGCAAUGGCAUAAGCCAGCUUGACUGCGAGCGUGACGGCGCGAGCAGGUGCGAAAGCAGGUCAUAGUGAUCCGGUGGUUCUGAAUGGAAGGGCCAUCGCUCAACGGAUAAAAGGUACUCCGGGGAUAACAGGCUGAUACCGCCCAAGAGUUCAUAUCGACGGCGGUGUUUGGCACCUCGAUGUCGGCUCAUCACAUCCUGGGGCUGAAGUAGGUCCCAAGGGUAUGGCUGUUCGCCAUUUAAAGUGGUACGCGAGCUGGGUUUAGAACGUCGUGAGACAGUUCGGUCCCUAUCUGCCGUGGGCGCUGGAGAACUGAGGGGGGCUGCUCCUAGUACGAGAGGACCGGAGUGGACGCAUCACUGGUGUUCGGGUUGUCAUGCCAAUGGCACUGCCCGGUAGCUAAAUGCGGAAGAGAUAAGUGCUGAAAGCAUCUAAGCACGAAACUUGCCCCGAGAUGAGUUCUCCCUGACCCUUUAAGGGUCCUGAAGGAACGUUGAAGACGACGACGUUGAUAGGCCGGGUGUGUAAGCGCAGCGAUGCGUUGAGCUAACCGGUACUAAUGAACCGUGAGGCUUAACCUU
RNAcentral lists this ribosomal RNA (971 nucleotides) under Escherichia coli TW06591. RNAcentral's name for it is "bacterial LSU rRNA". It matches the Rfam family "Bacterial large subunit ribosomal RNA", at positions 1960 to 2925 of the family's 2925-position model. Lineage: Bacteria; Pseudomonadati; Pseudomonadota; Gammaproteobacteria; Enterobacterales; Enterobacteriaceae. The record is from RNAcentral.